This 3326-nucleotide long non-coding RNA is filed under the name Homo sapiens (human). RNAcentral describes it as "HSALNT0143936". The record is from RNAcentral. Lineage: Eukaryota; Metazoa; Chordata; Mammalia; Primates; Hominidae.
UUUGUGCCCAGACCCUUGAGUCACCGGCCACCCUUGCUGCUCAUCACCCCUUCCCUGUGGGAGCUGGUUACCAAGCUGCAAAAGCACCCCUCCAAUGAAGGGGUUCCCUCUGGUUGGGGGGCUGGAGAGAAGGAUAAUACUGCGAUGAAUAUUUUGUGACGUAUUUCCAUAUCCACAUAUAUGACAGCUUCUCUAGGUUGUGUGUCUCAGAAGAGAAAUAAUGUAUCAUAGAUUUUGGAAGAAGCACGAAAAUGAUUUACUGAUUUAGGAACUGGGUGGAGUAGACCACAAAAAGACAAAUCAAAAACAUCUGGAAUGAACUAGUUGAGAGAGAAAAAGAGAGAGCAAGAAAAAAAGCAGGAGCCGGCAAGAGGGAGCCUCAGCCAACACUACAUCAGAGGCACAUUGUGGAUGGAGGAAAUGAGUUUAGUCAAGCCAGCUGUGACUUCAAAGGGGCUGCUCUCCCAGAGAACAGUGAGAAAGGGUUCCCCCUUCAGUGAAGACUGCAAAGUUCAGCCAGCGCCAACCCAAAGGGAAUGGACUCCAGGAAGGGGCAAAUUACAUUCAACAUACAAGAAAGAAUAUUUUCCUUCAUGAAGUGGCUGUGACAGUCUGAAGAGGAAGGAAAAUGACAAAAAAGAAAGGGCCAGUACGUGGAAAAUGCGGAAAUUGGAACUUACUAUAAGUAACUAAUUCAGAAAUCAGGCUGGCAGAAGUGUUAUACAUUCACUGGAAGAAAUUGGUGAAUAUAUGGAAAACAUAAAUGUUAUGUAUCCUGGAACUUAAAAUAAAAAUUAAUAAUAAAAAAUGUUAUCUCUCCCAAGCACUCAUUUGAUGCUUGAAUCCUCUCUAUGACAUCCUUACCAAGGAUUUGUUCUUCUUAUGCUUGGGUACUUCAACUGAUGAGAAUCUCACUAGCUCAGGAUGCAGUUUGCUUUCUUUUAGAUAGCUCUGUUAGAGCUGCCUUCUUCCAGGGCUGAACACUUCCAUAAUUUAAAUUCCAUUUAUUAGUUUUAGUCCUGCCCCUUGGGAACUCGUAGCAAAGAUACUUACAUAUUAAUGUGACAUUUUUCAGGUACUUGAGGUUAGUAAUUAUGUAGCAUAUGACAUAGAUUAAACUCAUAGACUCUGGAAACAAACUACUUGCCUUCCCUUCAAAUUCUUAUUCUGCCACUUACUUACUAUGUGACCUCCAGAGAGUUAUUUACUAUCUCUGUAACUUUAUUUCUUUAUCUAUAUAAAAAGAUAUAAUAAUAGCAGUACAUCAAAGGGCUUUUAUAAGGAGUCCAUGAAUUAAUAUAUGUAGAUGUGCCUGGAACACGGUAAGUGCUCUAAAAGUUUUCACUAUUACUAAUCAUCAUCAUUAUUAUACAGAUCUUGUCAGAUAUCGGACCUAGGCCAUCUUUCUAAGUCUUUACUCAUUCAUUAAGUGAGCUCAUUCACUCCCAUGGCUUCAAUCACCAUCUAUAUGAUUAUGAAAAAUCUAUUUUCCUCCUGAGCCAAGAGCUAAAUGUAAGUGACCAGUUAUGGAUACAGGAAUUGCUCUGGCCACCAUAAUUUGGGUGGAAAUGGUGCAUACCACUUCCAGUUCUUGCCCCUUAAAAUACCAUGAGAAAUCUUGCACUCCUUUCUCCUAGUUCAUCAGCUAACUGAAUGCAGAGAAACCAGUGGAGGACUCCAAGGAAAUUCCAAAGAGUGGUUGAACCACGGGUUGGAAGAAGUCUAGAUCCCUGAGUCAAUGUUUGGAGAGGAGCUGCCGAGGAGAGCCACCAGAGAGGGACACAUGAGCAAGAAAUAAACAUUUCUUCUGUUAAAACAUUGAGAUUUUAUAGCCCAUCAUGACUAAUCCAAUGAGACCCUAGUGUAGAUCUUUUGCUUAGUCUUCGCUUCUGAGAUCUAGAACUAUAUAUUUCAUUUGCUAAUCACCAUUUCUACAUGAACCCUCAAAUAGGGUAAUAGGUAAACUCAGAGUUUCUAAGAUUAGACUGUGUUGAAAUCUUAGUCCUUCCAGGUACAGCUAUAUGACUCAAUGUGUGUGUGGGGGCGGGGGCAGGGGGGUUAAAUAAACUAUUCAUAACUGUAUCUACUUAAAAGUAAUAAGAAAAUGAAAUGAGCAUAUACAUAUAUAUAAAACAGUUAUCGGCACAUAGUAAAUGCUCAGUAAUUGUCAGGUAAUACAGUUAUUAUGACCAUCCCACUCCAAAUUUGCUCUUUCCCCAGGUUUUUUAUGUUGAUAAAUGGUACCACCAUCCAAUAGUUGUUAAAAUUAGAAAUUUGCAACUUUAUCUUGGAUCACUUUUUUUAUCCUCCCACAUGGAUAAAGUCAAUCAAUAACUGAUUGAUUACACUCCUUCAGUAUUUUUCAAAUCCAUUUGCUUAACUCUCUCCUCUUCUAUUCUACACUUUUCAUCCUAGUUAAAGCCACCAGCCUAUGUAACUUUAUUAUAUUUGCGUCCUUACUAGUCUUUUCAAAUCCAUCCUUGCACCCUCCCAAUUCAUGCUUUAUGUGGAAAUGUAGGCAUUUUUUAAAAAAUUCAAAUCAAAUCUUGCUGCUCAAAAUUUUAAAUGCAUCAACACCGAUUGCUCUUUGGUGCCACCACAUUCCUGACCCAUUACUUCAGCACCCCCUCAAACCCACCACAGGACUUUAUUUCUACAAUUCAGCCACACUGGACUUUUGUCGGUGUCAGAAAAGUGCCAUAGAUUGUCCCAUCUUUGAUGUUAUCAUGUGUUGGUUACUUUUGCUUAGAAUAAACUUUCUCCCCAUCCCAGUUUACCUAAUUAAUUCCUGACCACUCUUUACAUUUCUGCUUAAAUGCUAUACUCUCCAGAAAGCCCUCUUAGCAAUCUCUGCCCACACUUCUUAAAGCUAUGCCUACAUAGCCCCCACCUUAUUUCUUCAUUAAACUCUUUGCACUUGCCAUUAUUUGUAUAAUUAUGUUUUCCCAGCUAACCAGGAGACUUUGUGAGGGCAGAGACCUCAUAUGUAUGGCUCACUGCCUGGUAUAGACAGUAUAUUGGCUUAUACGAAGGAGGAGUUUAUUAAAUACAGUAAAUUUUUUUAAGUGUGAAUAUGAGUCUGUUAAAUGACUGUGUGUAUAUGUACCCAAUGUAAAGUUUUAUUUGGUUCGGUCUAGAAAAAUGUCCUACAGCCAAUUCAUGUACCUAAUUAAAUUCACUUACAAAUUUAGGAAACUCAGCACCUGCCCUAUUUGAGUUUAAAACUAGUUGAUUUGAUAGACAUAUAAAAUAAAAACUAUACUAUAGUAUCAUCCAUGCUGUCAUAAUAGAAUUAUCUCAAAACCUCCAUUGAUGUACUAUUUGGG